UAACACGUGGGCGACCUGCCUUCGAGUGGGGAAUAACGCUGGGAAACCAGCGCUAAUACCGCAUACGCUCGCUCCUUCGUGGGAGCGAGGAAAGCUCUAUGCGCUCGAAGAGGGGCCUGCGGCGGAUUAGCUAGUCGGUGGGGUAACGGCCUACCGAGGCGACGAUCCGUAGCUGGUCUGAGAGGAUGAUCAGCCACACUGGGACUGAGACACGGCCCAG
Molecule: ribosomal RNA, 220 nt
Filed under: uncultured bacterium
Lineage: Bacteria
Description: partial 16S ribosomal RNA
Rfam family: Bacterial small subunit ribosomal RNA
Source: RNAcentral